RNAcentral lists this transfer RNA (70 nucleotides) under Marmota monax (woodchuck). Its description in RNAcentral is "tRNA.Ala". Lineage: Eukaryota; Metazoa; Chordata; Mammalia; Rodentia; Sciuridae. The record is from RNAcentral.
GGGCUGGGGCUCAGUGGUACAGCGCUUGCCUUGCACAUAUGAGGUACUGGGUUCAAUCCUCAGCACCACA